CUCCAGUGUCAUGACCUUGAUGAACCUCCUGAUACAAUACAUUAUGCUCUGAGCUUGCGGCCAAUUGGUUCUGGAAAACUCUUUGAGCAAGUGCCAACUGCUGGAAAUUUCAUCCAGGUGAGCACCAGGUGCUGCUUCUCCAGGGAUUUUCCCGAGGAGAUGGAGUCAUUUCAUGGCCACAGUGUGGUUGGUGUGGGUGCAUUCAGCAGUGGGAGCUGGGACACAGCAGAGAAGGGUCUGGAAGGCAUUCGGGCAAGUCCUUCAGUAUUUUGAUACCGGACACCAUCAUCUUACCAUUAGCACAAAAUAAUUGACUUCCUGUUUAGCUGCAGAAAUGAAUCAGAGGCUAAAAUAGAUGCUGAUUUUCUCAAAGAUAAGUCUGUUUGACUACAUGUGUGAUGAUGGCUCAUCCUUCUGGCAUUGGGAGUGAGAGAUCAGCUUCUUUCUCCACCCUUAAGAGGUCAUAAAGUUUCCACUGACAGAGGGGGGACAUAGUUGUAAAAGAAUUGGAUUAUGAGGACCCAGACAUAGUUCCAGCUGGCCAUAUCUAUGAAAUGACAAUUUCAGUAUUUGAUGACUUACAUCCCUUCCGUACAGUCUGUCUACCCUGUGAUGGAGAAGGAUAAGAGGCUUAUGGAAGCUUCCUGAUGGGAGAGACUGCCUGAGGAGGAAACUGGGUCUUGUUCUGAUG
Long non-coding RNA from Bos taurus (domestic cattle), 691 nucleotides. Lineage: Eukaryota; Metazoa; Chordata; Mammalia; Artiodactyla; Bovidae. The record is from Ensembl.